RNAcentral lists this ribosomal RNA (119 nucleotides) under Pteropus alecto (black flying fox). The record is from RNAcentral. Lineage: Eukaryota; Metazoa; Chordata; Mammalia; Chiroptera; Pteropodidae.
GUCUAUGGCCAUGCCACCCUGAACAUGCUUGAUCUCAUCUGAUCUCGGAAGCUAAGCAGGGUCAGGUCUAGUUAGUACUUGGAUGGGAGACCACCUAGGACGACCAGGUGCUGUAGGCA